This 746-nucleotide long non-coding RNA is filed under the name Brassica napus (rape). RNAcentral's name for it is "long non-coding RNA (BNAP_LNC022734)". The record is from RNAcentral. Lineage: Eukaryota; Viridiplantae; Streptophyta; Magnoliopsida; Brassicales; Brassicaceae.
AUUUGAGAGCGAUAUUUCCCUCACAAAAAGUUGGAUACAUACCAAAACGUGUCUCACCUACUUUAUUCGAUUUUUAUGAGAGAAUUACGAUGAACCAGAGUUCAUUCGCACAUCCUACGCAAAUUUGUGAGGGAGUUACGAUGAACCAAAGGUACCAAGCAAAUGCCUCGCAAUUUUUUUGAGAUUGUGAGGGAUGUUUUUGCCUUGCAAUUCCCUCACAGUUUUGUCACAAAUUUGGGGGGGGGGGUAUCAUGAUACCUAGUUCCCUGGUCAUACCUAUCACCCGUUUAUGAUUGUACAUCCACGCAUGUAAUGCAUAUUUUGAUGUUCUGAAGACAUUUUACUCUCUCUCUUUUUUUUUUUUGCAUGUCAUGCAUAUUUUGAUGUUCUGAAGACAUUUUACUCUCUCUCUCUUUUUUAAUCUUGUGUUCAGAACUCAACAAAUGUUUUUCUAUUUAUAGAUUCUCCUAAAAACAUUGCGAGAGACUUGAGUGGAAACUGUAAUGGCGAGGGAUUUACGAAAAAAAUAAUAUUUUGUGAGGGAUUUGAGAGUGAUAUUUCCCUCACAAAAAGUUGAAUACAUACUAAAACGUGUUUCACCUAAUAUAUUCGACUUUUAUGAGAGAAUUACGAUGAACCAGAGUUCAUUCGCACAUCCUACGCAAAUUUGUGAGGGAGUUAAGAUGAACCAAGGUAACAAGCAAAUGCCUCGCAAUUUUUUUGAGAUUGUGAGGGAUGUUUUUGCC